This is an RNA transcript of Trichosurus vulpecula (common brushtail), 4617 nucleotides long. It is a transcript of the gene named septin 2, with no coding region annotated. NCBI's taxonomy places the organism in Eukaryota, Metazoa, Chordata, Mammalia, Diprotodontia, Phalangeridae. The record is from RefSeq and is a predicted model, not a curated record. The transcript has 12 exons.
CGUGCGGCUGCGCGGUCGCGCCCACAGCAGGGCUGGGUCAGAUCGCCGUGUCGGCAUCCCUGUGUGAAGCUCAGUCGGCCGUUCCUUCACUUGGUCCAGCGCGGUACCUGAACUUCACUGAAGAUGUCGAAGCAACAGCCCGCUCAGUUUCCAAAUCCAGAAACUCCUGGCUACGUGGGAUUCGCAAAUCUUCCCAAUCAAGUCCACCGAAAAUCUGUGAAAAAAGGUUUUGAGUUCACACUGAUGGUGGUUGGGGAAUCAGGAUUGGGAAAAUCUACUCUCAUCAAUAGCCUGUUCUUGACUGACUUGUACCCAGAAAGAGUCAUUCCCGGGGCAGCAGAGAAAAUAGAAAGGACAGUACAGAUUGAGGCAUCCACGGUGGAGAUUGAGGAGAGAGGGGUCAAGCUGCGCCUUACUGUUGUCGACACACCAGGCUACGGGGAUGCAAUUAACUGCCGUGACUGCUUCAAGACGAUCAUCUCCUACAUUGAUGAGCAGUUUGAACGAUACCUGCAUGAUGAAAGUGGCUUGAACCGACGGCACAUUAUAGAUAACCGUGUGCAUUGCUGCUUCUACUUUAUCUCACCUUUUGGACAUGGACUUAAACCUUUAGAUGUAGAGUUUAUGAAAGCUAUACACAAUAAAGUGAAUAUUGUGCCCGUGAUCGCCAAAGCUGAUACUCUGACCCUGAAGGAGCGGGAACGGCUGAAGAAGAGGGUUCUGGAUGAAAUUGAAGAGCAUGGUAUCAAGAUUUAUCAUUUACCUGAUGCUGAGUCAGAUGAAGAUGAAGAUUUUAAGGAACAGACUAGACUUCUGAAGGCUAGUAUUCCAUUUUCAGUAGUAGGAUCCAAUCAGUUGAUUGAAGCCAAAGGCAAAAAGGUUAGAGGUCGUCUCUAUCCUUGGGGAGUUGUGGAAGUGGAGAAUCCAGAACAUAAUGACUUUCUAAAACUGAGAACAAUGCUGAUUACUCACAUGCAGGAUCUCCAGGAGGUGACCCAGGACCUUCACUAUGAGAACUUCCGCUCUGAGAGACUGAAGAGAGGCGGCAGGAAAGUGGAAAACGAGGAAGUGAAUAGAGACCAGAUCCUGCUGGAAAAGGAAGCAGAAGUAAGGCAGCAUUGUUUCCGUGUGUCUUGUGUCUGUAUCUGUGUCUCACGAUCUCCCACAGAUGGUUAUGAUAGGAUUCUGCAUACCUCUGUAUUGUUUUUGUGUGUAGUUGUCGCAAAAUCUUUCUUGCUUUUUGUUAUCAAAUAUACUUUAUCUUAGAAUGACAGCAUGGCCCACAUUGUGAACUGUGAAAUUUCCCACAUAAUUUUUCCUUUCAAAAUUACAAACAGAAAAAAAUUUGAGAGAAUGGCAUUGCAACAGUGCCAAGGGCUCACCCGGUACCUUGCUUUAUGUGAAAUGAAUGGAAACUGUCAUAACGGGAAUUAUAUUUCUAAAUUCUGUAUUGCAUUGUCUUAUCUGAACUUGGAGGGAAGAUUUGAAAGGAUACUUUUUAUUUGGAUUGGUUUUCUUUGAGACUUUAAAUUUUUUAACAUCAAAAAUGGUUAACUUCGGGAAUUAGUAAUGAAAUCUAAUGGUGUCAUCAGUUCAAAUCCCAUUCAAGUUGCCGAUGCAUAAAAUAGUCUUACUUUAUGACCAUUUCAAUCUAUAUAUCAGGUGAGUAAGCAGAACUGAAAAACCCCCACAACUGUAAUUUCCUUAAAGGGCGUCUCAGAGUGGGCCUGGUAUGUGUGUGUCUGGGGUCAUUCUAAAAAGGUCACAGAUGGCACUUGAUGUGCAGGACUCCUACCCUCAAUCUUAACUAGGUUUUAAGCCAUUGAAAUCUUGUCAGUCUUUGAGUUCUCAUUCCCAAUAAGCAGAUGCAUGUGCUGGGCAUUGGCUGUUCCCCGACCCCCAGCCUUCCUCAGUGCUGCUUCUCAAGUCCCCUGAGCUUGGUCUCCUCUUGGAUGAUGGGUCUUGUUUCACCAAGGACAUGGAUCCAUCCAGAGGCCCAGCCAUGGCUGUGUGGCUUGUGGGGUUCAAGUUAGGUGCCAAUGCUCUUCCGCAGAAUCUUCAUCCUGUGUGGGACUUGAGGUGCUCAAAGCACAGAGGAGGCCUCUUUGUACCUUGUAAAAUUAUGAGCCACGAGUUACAUACUGACCUUGGGAAAUUAUUAUUGAAUUGUUCAGGUGUGAUAGUCUGUAAAAGCAUGGAUUCCACUUUGCUCACCAACAGAGCUGCUGCUUAGAAAGCAGCUGCCGAUGUGAAGCCCCCCUCUCUCAGGCAGAUGAGCCCGGGGCCUGCCCUCUCAGCCCUGCUGAAAGAUCCCCACUCUGCCCAUUCAACUUGGCUUCUUGAUGAGGGCAUAAAUUACCUAUUUCAGACAGAUUUUUCAAAGAACUAUUUCCUAAGAAACACCUUUUAGAGGCAUGGGAGUGGGAGGAUCCUAAGACAGCAGGUCCAUAUUCUCCUCUUGUUGCAGCUUCGUCGUAUGCAGGAGAUGAUUGCAAGAAUGCAGGCACAGAUGCAAAUGCAGAUGCAGGGAGGAGACGGGGAUAUCGUCAUGCACGGACACCAGGCUUAAGAAUUUCACUUAGAGAUGAAAAAGAACAUUCCAAUGUGUUUUUUCAUGAAGUCGCUGAAAGGAAUUCUUCUGCAAUACCUGCAGCCUGCAAACUGUUACUCAUCAUUUUUACCCAUGGUCUGUGAAUUGUUACUCUCCAUUUUUACUUAAGGAUCGGUUGUGGUACCUUUUGUAAUAUGUACCUUGUAACAUGUAUUUUAUUGAUAUUUUAUACUUUUUCCAUAACAUGUCUGUUUUCGUGUUGCUUCCUACAUAACUACUGUUAGGUGGAAUUGGUUUUCUAGAACUAAACUAUGAAUUUGUUCUGGAUUUGUAUAGCUUCCAUUGGCUUGACUGGUUGGGCAUCUCUGUCAUUGAAGAGCACUGUGGAGUCACACAUGGGAGCGAAGUCUUCUUUAAAUCCCCAAGUGAAAGUGCCAGAGCAGGGCCCUCUGUCUGCCUGGUCUAAUGGUGACCCUCACCACAGUCCCUGGGGGAAGACGAGGGAGUCAAGAGUUCUUGUUUGGUAUAUAAGCUAUUGGGUGUAACACCUGAAACCCGGUUUUGCUGCUGCCCACCAGGCUGCAUUUAUUUACACAUUCUGGUUACUCACAUUACUGGCUUGGGAGAACAAAGAGGAACACAUACCUUUAAAUAAUUCAUGUUAAAAUAUAACCUUUUAUAAGCAGUAAUUUCUAAGGUUCUAAUGACAAGGGAAAACAGUAACCCUGUUAUUUUAAAAAAACCUAUUUUAUAAACACGAUUUUUUCUAGUAAGGUCCAAAAAGCACAUCCUUUUUGAAAUAGGGUGACAUCAUUGCUUAUGCUGUCCCACAGAAACUGAAAGCAGCAUUUCCAUCGUGAAUGAGGGGAGAUUGUCAGAGAACGGCAGAGUCCACAGGACUCUGCUUCAGUGGCUUAGCAAGAAAGGAGCACUCCUUUUCUCUUCAGACAAAAUAUUCCGGAAUCUCUUAGAUGCAGGUGCCAGUUAUUUUGGAUCCAUUUUUCUCAUUAUUUUAUAACAGCUAUUUUGAAGACCAACCUGAACAAACAGGUUUUGUGUUGGCUGUGACACCAACCUUGUCCUCAUGCAUCUGCGCUCUGGUAAAGAGAACAAGCCUCCCUUUUCCCCGUGUCCCACUUUGUUCUCUGGCAGCUGUGGGGGGCGGUAUGUUGUGUAUGGUGUCAUCUGAUUCUUCACCUUCAUUUCAUUGGUUUACAAACAGUGCUUGGUCUACAAGUCAUUUCAGUUUCCCUCCAGUUCCUAAAGGCUAAGCUCAGACCACCCCUUUGCUCUCUCUCUCAUAUGUGCCAGCCUAGGGCCUCCCUUCUCUUCCCUCUUAGUGUCUGAAGCUGAAAGGGGAGGCUGGUCCCAGAGAGGCCCACCCAAGGAGGAUCCACAGUAGGGGUGGGGGUGGGCAUGGGGGCAGGCAUGAAACAAAGCAGUACAAAGCAGUGUGAGAGAGAGGCUGCUGUUUGGCCGAAGGCAGGAAGCCUCAAGGAACAGGUGAAGAAAUAUUUAUUGCAAACUUUUGAUGGUGGCAUAAUCCUUCCAAACAUGCCAGUGUUCACUCUAGAUAUUUGAUCUGUAGUACGAUUGGUAGAGUUUAAGUGGUCACAUGCAAUGUAUUAACAGAUGUAAGAAAAGUAUUUUUUUUAGUACUUAAUCUAGAAUUAUAUUAUGUACAUUUUUUAUCAACUUUUCCAUGACAUUUCAUGUUUUAUAUUCAAGGUCAGUUAUUUGAAUUACACUAGUUUUUAUAACCUAUAUUAGAACAAACUAAAAAAAAUGAUAUAUGCAAAAUGAGAAACAUAAGCUAAGUCCUAUAUACAUUUAAGUAAAAAUACUGCUCAGGGGGAGCUAUCACUUAAAAUACUAAACUGAAAAACGUAUUAAAUUCUUUUUAUAUGACUGCAAUUUGGUUUGUUAUCCCAUGAGAUCUCAGUGUGUCCUUUGACUAAGACACAGUCGGCCUCUGCCUCUGGAGGUGAAUGUUGAGAACUCUUGUUUUACAUGGUGGCUUUGUAUCCCUUGAGCAUUUUAUCAAUAAAUAAUUCUGGUUUAGUUAU